Molecule: transfer RNA, 38 nt
Filed under: Phaseolus lunatus (lima bean)
Lineage: Eukaryota; Viridiplantae; Streptophyta; Magnoliopsida; Fabales; Fabaceae
Also listed under: 3 other names
Description: partial tRNA-Lys
Source: RNAcentral
AAAAUCCGUCGACUUAAUAAAUCAUGAGGGUUCAAGUC